Long non-coding RNA from Heterocephalus glaber (naked mole-rat), 554 nucleotides. The record is from Ensembl. Lineage: Eukaryota; Metazoa; Chordata; Mammalia; Rodentia; Bathyergidae.
ACUGAGUCUCCGGAAGCCCCUCUGGACUUGGAGCUCCUCAACGCCUCCAUCCCCACCUGGAGCGAAGUCCCGGCUCCGGAGGCUGGAGGUCCUCGGCGCGUCACGGGGAGGUCCCGGGCCGCCCGGGCAGUGACGGAGCUCGGACCCCUCUGCGUGCUCGAGGAUCCAGGCAGCUGUGAUGUCCUUGCUGUCGCCGCCCCAGUCCGCCGCGCACCAGCUCUGGGGGUGCCGGCCGCGCGCAGCUGCCCGAUUUCUCCUCGCUUCUUGGCUUCCAGGAGGGUCCAGCAGCCCAGGGCUAUGACUAAGGCGCUCACUUGAUCGCAGAGGUGGCGCGGAGCCCGGCGAGCCGAUGACGGACCCCUUCCUCCUGUCUUCAGUGCCUCAACGGAAGAUCCUCAAGGGCUGGAGAGAGAAGGGCUGCUGCUGGACACCCUCCCGGGGAGGCUGCUCCCACCUGCCGCUCGUGGUGUACGAGACUGGGGACUGAGCGAGCCCCAGCCGUCGCUGCCGUCGGUCGGACCGGCCCCCGCCCCGCUCUGCUCGGCCCGCCUCCC